AUUUUUUUUUUUUUUUUUUAUAUUGAAAUUUGGUUGUGUUUAUUGUGUUUUUUAGUUGAGUAUUUUAUUUACUGCUACUAUUAUUAUUACUAAAACUAUAUUUUAAUAUAAUAUGGUUACAAUGAGGGCAUAUGUUAAUAUUAAUAUAUGCCUAGGUCUAGGUGGUCGGGUGGGAUAUUUUACAUAGUUUUUUUUUAAAGCUAUGUGUGUAAUCUUGUCCAGGGUUCAGUUUGUCAUGGUUUGAUUAAAGAUGAUAUGAGAUUUGAUCUCUAGUUUAUUAUAAUAAUAAAGGGGUAAUAACUUUUUUUUGUUGUUUAUGAAUGGACUCUAAAGAGGGCGAGUUUGAAUGUACUGCUCCCCCAGCUCUCUAAGGAGGGUUUCGUAAUGGUUUUUCAAAAAAAU
This 402-nucleotide unclassified non-coding RNA is filed under the name Hevea brasiliensis (rubber tree). The record is from RNAcentral. Lineage: Eukaryota; Viridiplantae; Streptophyta; Magnoliopsida; Malpighiales; Euphorbiaceae.